This 749-nucleotide ribosomal RNA is filed under the name Halobacillus profundi. RNAcentral describes it as "bacterial SSU rRNA". It matches the Rfam family "Bacterial small subunit ribosomal RNA", at positions 238 to 977 of the family's 1533-position model. The record is from RNAcentral. Lineage: Bacteria; Bacillati; Bacillota; Bacilli; Caryophanales; Bacillaceae.
GCAUUAGCUAGUUGGUGAGGUAACGGCUCACCAAGGCGACGAUGCGUAGCCGACCUGAGAGGGUGAUCGGCCACACUGGGACUGAGACACGGCCCAGACUUCUACGGGAGGCAGCAGUAGGGAAUCUUCCGCAAUGGACGAAAGUCUGACGGAGCAACGCCGCGUGAACGAUGAAGGUCUUCGGAUCGUAAAGUUCUGUUGUUAGGGAAGAACAAGUACCGUGCGAAUAGAGCGGUACCUUGACGGUACCUAACGAGGAAGCCCCGGCUAACUACGUGCCAGCAGCCGCGGUAAUACGUAGGGGGCAAGCGUUGUCCGGAAUUAUUGGGCGUAAAGCGCGCGCAGGCGGUUCCUUAAGUCUGAUGUGAAAGCCCACGGCUCAACCGUGGAGGGUCAUUGGAAACUGGGGAACUUGAGGACAGAAGAGGAGAGUGGAAUUCCACGUGUAGCGGUGAAAUGCGUAGAUAUGUGGAGGAACACCAGUGGCGAAGGCGACUCUCUGGUCUGUUUCUGACGCUGAGGUGCGAAAGCGUGGGUAGCAGACAGGAUUAGAUACCCUGGUAGUCCACGCCGUAAACGAUGAGUGCUAGGUGUUAGGGGGCUUCCACCCCUUAGUGCUGAAGUUAACGCAUUAAGCACUCCGCCUGGGGAGUACGGCCGCAAGGCUGAAACUCAAAGGAAUUGACGGGGGCCCGCACAAGCGGUGGAGCAUGUGGUUUAAUUCGAAGCAACGCGAAGAACCUUACCAG